GAGGUCCGUUCGCACAAUCGCAUGGCAGGGGCGGGGGAACCAAUUUUCGGGCACCGUUUGGUGCCCUUGGGGUUAAGUUGAGCGGCUUCGCGCCGCCCAGCCGGGUGACUCCCAUCCGAACCCGACAGCUCACCUCGUAGGCGUAGGGAGAGGCACA
This 157-nucleotide small RNA is filed under the name Arthrobacter saudimassiliensis. Its description in RNAcentral is "ydaO-yuaA". It matches the Rfam family "c-di-AMP riboswitch aptamer (ydaO/yuaA leader)". From Rfam's summary of the family: This family represents a conserved RNA structure found upstream of the ydaO and yuaA genes in Bacillus subtilis and related genes in other bacteria. Lineage: Bacteria; Bacillati; Actinomycetota; Actinomycetes; Micrococcales; Micrococcaceae. The record is from RNAcentral.